Molecule: ribosomal RNA, 253 nt
Filed under: uncultured bacterium
Lineage: Bacteria
Description: partial 16S ribosomal RNA
Rfam family: Bacterial small subunit ribosomal RNA
Source: RNAcentral
GACAGAGGGGGCAAGCGUUGCUCGGAAUUACUGGGCGUAAAGCGCACGUAGGCGGCUUCUUAAGUCGGUGGUGAAAUCCUGGAGCUCAACUCCAGAACUGCCUUCGAUACUGGGAAGCUCGAGUCCGGGAGAGGUGAGUGGAACUGCGAGUGUAGAGGUGAAAUUCGUAGAUAUUCGCAAGAACACCAGUGGCGAAGGCGGCUCACUGGCCCGGUACUGACGCUGAGGUGCGAAAGCGUGGGGAGCAAACAGG